This 470-nucleotide ribosomal RNA is filed under the name uncultured organism. Its description in RNAcentral is "partial 16S ribosomal RNA". It matches the Rfam family "Bacterial small subunit ribosomal RNA", at positions 335 to 797 of the family's 1533-position model. The record is from RNAcentral.
ACUCCUGCGGCAGGCAGCAGUGGGGAAUUUUGGACAAUGGGCGAAAGCCUGAUCCAGCAAUGCCGCGUGAGUGAAGAAGGCCUUCGGGUUGUAAAGCUCUUUUGUCAGGGAAGAAACGGUGAAAGCUAAUAUCUUUUGCUAAUGACGGUACCUGAAGAAUAAGCACCGGCUAACUACGUGCCAGCAGCCGCGGUAAUACGUAGGGUGCAAGCGUUAAUCGGAAUUACUGGGCGUAAAGCGUGCGCAGGCGGUUUUGUAAGUCUGAUGUGAAAUCCCCGGGCUCAACCUGGGAAUUGCAUUGGAGACUGCAAGGCUAGAAUCUGGCAGAGGGGGGUAGAAUUCCACGUGUAGCAGUGAAAUGCGUAGAUAUGUGGAGGAACACCGAUGGCGAAGGCAGCCCCCUGGGUCAAGAUUGACGCUCAUGCACGAAAGCGUGGGGAGCAAACAGGAUUAGAUACCCCGGUAGUCCC